GAGUCCUCUAUGAAGAGCAGCCUUUCUGUAUUGCCAGCGGUCGCGGCUGCUACGGCGCGCUGGCGGGUCCGUUUCCCUGGGCCGUGAAAGUGCAAGGCGGCAGGCAGCGAUGCGCUCUGUCGCCAAAACGCUGAUGGUAGAAACAGAUGCUCUUUCCGCGGCGCCGGCGUGUAGCAAUCCCUGCCGUCAGCAAGGGGGCGGAUGCUCCGGGGGAGGCAGGUGGAGGCGUGGAAGGUGCCGCCGGCGUGUCCGUAGCCAGGGCGUGAACGUCGAAAGCCUCCACGUGUACAAACCAUGACGGGGGGUCAUGGAGCCAAAAGUCCGGCAGUUUCAGCGCCACAGCGAACGUAGCUGUAACAGGAGGCGGAGGUCCGGCGGCCGCUGAUGUAUCCAUAGCGGAGUCUGUGUUAUCUGCGGCCCGUUGCAUGCUCGAGUCAGGGGUCACCAAUGUGGAGGUAAGCAUCAACGACACAGAGCUCUCAGUUUUCACUCCUUCUUUAUUCGUCUCCAACAUCAACUGCGCAUAUCGCGCCACAAAACACAGGAACACACUUCCUAUACACUGGGUGUGAGUGGAGCCCUCUAGUGGUCCGCCACUAUAUAUAUAUAUAAAAAAAAAAAAAAACACCCAGCACGCCCCUGCGGGCGGUUUAUCCUUCAAGCUCGGGUCCUCUACCAGAGGCCUGGGAGCUUGAGGGUCCUGCGCAGUAUCUUAGCUGUUCCCAGGACUGCGCUCUUCUGGACAGAGAUCUCUGAUGUUAUUCCCGGGAUCUGCUGGAGCCACUCGCCUAGCUUGGGAGUCACCGCACCUAGUGCUCCGAUUACCACGGGGACCACCGUUACCUUCACCCUCCACAUCCUCUCGAGCUCUUCUCUGAGCCCUUGGUAUUUCUCCAGCUUCUCGUGUUCCUUCUUCCUGAUAUUGCUGUCAUUCGGAACCGCUACAUCGAUCACUACGGCCGUCUUCUUCUGUUUGUCUACCACCACUAUGUCCGGUUGGUUAGCCACCACCAUUUUGUCCGUCUGUAUCUGGAAGUCCCACAGGAUCUUAGCUCGGUCAUUCUCCACCACCCUUAGGUGCAUCUCCCAU
Long non-coding RNA from Astatotilapia calliptera (eastern happy), 1090 nucleotides. Lineage: Eukaryota; Metazoa; Chordata; Actinopteri; Cichliformes; Cichlidae. The record is from Ensembl.